Molecule: long non-coding RNA, 753 nt
Organism: Vitis vinifera (wine grape)
Lineage: Eukaryota; Viridiplantae; Streptophyta; Magnoliopsida; Vitales; Vitaceae
Exons: 2
Source: RefSeq, a predicted model, not a curated record
UGUGGCCCAAGACUUUGUGAGAGUUGGUGACAGUUCACAUUAAAGUUUGGGGCAUAAGGGUGGGGUGGUGUGAGUCUGCAAGUUUAUGGGCUCUUUGGAAAGAAAAGAAUAUGAUACCUUUUUAAGGUUGGAUUCAUGCAUUCCAUCCUAAGGAAUUUAAUGGGAAUACCUUUUCCUACCCACGUGAAGUCAGUCCUCCAAACGACUUUUUUAGUCUUAACUUUGAUGGUUGUUCUUUAGGAAGCACAGGUGAAAUCUGAACACAUUUUCUCUUUUAAGGGAUUCUUUUAGAAACUGUAUUAAUGUAAACUCUCCUGCUCUUUUAGAACUGUGAUUCUUACUUUUCUUUGCCUUUUUGUCAUGGAAAAACUUGUAGGGCUGAAUUCGGAGCUCUAAAUUGGUCUGAGAGAAGCUGAAAAAUUGGAUGUUUAACAACUGAGCAUGUUUGCCAGAAUGUUGUGAAAUGGAUCAAACAAGGAAAAGCAGGAUGUUGCAAUAUUUUUUUUAUUCCCCCUCCCCUCCUUUUUGAUAAUCACAUCUUGCUGAUCUUCUUAAGGAAGCAAGUGAUUUGUAAAUAACUGUGCAACCUAUCUUUUCUGUGGUUGCCAGAGAGUCAUGAUAACAAGGUUAAGUGUCUUUUCUUUAGAGGGUAUCUUGUGAAACACUACACCUUGUCAAGGGUUUCUAUUUGUCUUUGGGCAUUUUCUUAUCUUUAGUACUUAUGGGGAAUCUGGAAACCUCUUUUGUACUCUA